This 530-nucleotide long non-coding RNA is filed under the name Canis lupus familiaris (dog). Its description in RNAcentral is "lncRNA (ENSCAFG00845005760.1)". The record is from RNAcentral. Lineage: Eukaryota; Metazoa; Chordata; Mammalia; Carnivora; Canidae.
UAUUCAGAGUGCUUCUACAAAUAAUAGCUUCAAUUUGAAGAUCAGAGGAGAGACUUUGAAUGAAAGACAAACUCAGGAAAAUAUUUCAAUAUUACUUAUUUCUGUCAAACCAGCUGCCCCAAGAUGGCAGCCAGGAGAUGAUUACACACUGGCAAUGAUGAGAAGAAAUUGUGGAAAGGAGAGGACAAAGCAUUGAGGAAGUUCCAUGAGAUCAAGGACUAACAGUGGAGAGGAUGGAGAGGAGCGAGGCGAGGAAGCUAACCCGGAGCAAGGAUGGCUUGAGAACAAGGGAACUGAGGCAGUCAAACAGCAGAAGUAAUUCAGGAUGUGGGCUGAAGAGCAGAGAUACUACAGGAGAGACUGCAAACCAAGAGAAGCACACAGAGGAUUCAGAGUUGAAAACUGAACCCAGGCAGAGCUCCCAGAUACUGGAGGCUUGCAGGAAGCAGAUCUGGCUAGGAGAGGAGGCUCUGCUUACACUACUAUUAUUUAAAAGUGCUGGAUGGCAGGGGACAUCAGGAAUGCCCUAG